GAUGAAGAACGUAGCGAAAUGCGAUAAGUAAUGUGAAUUGCAGAAUUCAGGGAAUCAUCGAAUCUUUGAACGCACAUUGCGCCCGCCAGUAUUCUGGCGGGCAUGCCUGUUCGAGCGUCAUUUCAACCAUCAAGCCCCAGGCUUGUGUUGGGGACCUGCGGCUGCCGCAGGCCCUGAAAACCAGUGGCGGGCUCGCUGUCACACCGGGCGUAGUAGAUUUUAUCUCGCUCAGGGCGUGCUGCGGGUUCCGGCCGUUAAAAAGCCUUUUUUACCCAAGGUUGACCUCGGAUCAGGUAGGAAGACCCGCUGAACUUAAGCAUAUCAAUAAGCGGAGGA
This 336-nucleotide unclassified non-coding RNA is filed under the name soil metagenome. Its description in RNAcentral is "partial contains 5.8S ribosomal RNA, internal transcribed spacer 2, and large subunit ribosomal RNA". The stretch from base 1 to 120 matches the Rfam family "5.8S ribosomal RNA", at positions 35 to 154 of the family's 154-position model. The record is from RNAcentral.